CGUCCUGGUAGCGGGGGGUAACUAUUGGAAACGAUAGCUAAUACCGCAUAAUAUUUGAUUAUUUGCAUGAUAAUUGAUUGAAAGAUGCAACUGCAUCACUACCAGAUGGACCUGCGUUGUAUUAGCUAGUAGGUGAGGUAACGGCUCACCUAGGCGACGAUACAUAGCCGACCUGAGAGGGUGAUCGGCCACACUGGGACUGAGACACGGCCCAG
RNAcentral lists this ribosomal RNA (215 nucleotides) under uncultured bacterium. Its description in RNAcentral is "partial 16S ribosomal RNA". It matches the Rfam family "Bacterial small subunit ribosomal RNA", at positions 126 to 334 of the family's 1533-position model. The record is from RNAcentral.